GAUGAAGAACGUAGCGAAAUGCGAUACGUAAUGUGAAUUGCAGAAUUCAGUGAAUCAUCGAAUCUUUGAACGCAUAUUGCGCUCUCUGGUAUUCCGGAGAGCAUGCUUGUUUGAGUAUCAGUAAACACCUCAACUUCCAUAUCUUUUUUGAAAUGGGAGUUGGACUUGAGUGAUCCCAACGCUUUUCCUCACCGAAAAGUGGCGGGUUACUUGAAAUGCAGGUGCAGCUGGACUUUUCUCUGAGCUAUAAGCAUAUCUAUUUAGUCUGCCUAAAAAACAGAUUAUUACCUUUGCUGCAGCUAACAUAAAGGAGAUUAGUUCUUGUGCUGACUGAUGCAGGAUUCGCAAAGACGGCUUCGGCCGACUUUGUAAACUCGAUCUCAAAUCAAGUAAGACUACCCGCUGAACUUAAGCAUAUCAAUAAGCGGAGGA
RNAcentral lists this unclassified non-coding RNA (432 nucleotides) under soil metagenome. Its description in RNAcentral is "partial contains 5.8S ribosomal RNA, internal transcribed spacer 2, and large subunit ribosomal RNA". The stretch from base 1 to 120 matches the Rfam family "5.8S ribosomal RNA", at positions 35 to 154 of the family's 154-position model. The record is from RNAcentral.